RNAcentral lists this long non-coding RNA (862 nucleotides) under Homo sapiens (human). Its description in RNAcentral is "HSALNT0305723". Lineage: Eukaryota; Metazoa; Chordata; Mammalia; Primates; Hominidae. The record is from RNAcentral.
GCAGCCCGGCAGCCACUACACACGGACCCGUGACGUCGGGCGUAGCGCGGCGCACGUCACGGCCGCUCGCUCGUGCGCGCGCACCCCUCCGCCCGGCGGUAGCGGAACCCGCCGCGGGCGCGCGCCCGGCCCAGGGGAGUGGGUCGGCGCCUGCGCAGAGGCCCGCCACGCCCACACACAGGCCACCGCCCCCACCGGCCGGACGGCGCGGGGAUUCCCAGUCCUGGCUCCGCCCCGGCCUCGGCCCCGCCCCCGCCCCUGCCCCGGGGCAGCCUGUGCUGUUCCGUGUGCGCGGCGCAUACGCACCUGGGUUGUCUCGAGCCUGCGGUAGUGGCCAGAUCCCAGACAUCCGAGUAGAUCCCGUGAAAAGGUCUCCCACGUGGGCUGUGGACAGGGCCCAAGGGUAGCAGAGCUAGCAGAGGCAGUGACGGACUGUGUGGCAGCUUCUUCUUGGUUUCUUCGUACAUUCUGGAUCCACCCCUUUCAUGCAUAUUCCAGACCACAUUUCCACUGGAGCAGUUGAAAUGAGAGAGAUGGGAAUGGGACUCACCCGAACCAGAGGAAUUUUUAUUACAGACCCAUUAACAGAGGUGUCAAAGUCACAGGAACAAGGAUGUGCACCUCAGAAACACAGAGGUCAGUGGAAAAUCAGUUUGCUUCUAUUUGUUUAAAAAAUGGGGGACUUAUGCAUAAAUCUAAGACCUUCUUGAAUCUAACAUUCUAAGACCUGUAUGCCACAGAAAGGAGGGUCUCAGAACGCCGGAGGAUAGUAUUUAAAUCUUAAAUAUCUAUAUUGUUCUCCACAGUUACUGGGUCACCACAUAGCAGGCAUUCAAUAAAAACGUGUUUGUUUACUAAGUAA